RNAcentral lists this ribosomal RNA (400 nucleotides) under uncultured bacterium. RNAcentral describes it as "bacterial SSU rRNA". It matches the Rfam family "Bacterial small subunit ribosomal RNA", at positions 355 to 767 of the family's 1533-position model. The record is from RNAcentral.
UGGGGAAUAUUGCACAAUGGGCGAAAGCCUGAUGCAGCGACGCCGCGUGCGGGAUGACGGCCUUCGGGUUGUAAACCGCUUUCAGCAGGGAAGAAGCGCAAGUGACGGUACCUGCAGAAGAAGCGCCGGCUAACUACGUGCCAGCAGCCGCGGUAAUACGUAGGGCGCGAGCGUUAUCCGGAAUUAUUGGGCGUAAAGAGCUCGUAGGCGGUUUGCCGCGUCUGCUGUGAAAGCCCGGGGCUUAACUCCGGGUGUGCAGUGGGUACGGGCAGACUAGAGUGCAGUAGGGGAGACUGGAAUUCCUGGUGUAGCGGUGAAAUGCGCAGAUAUCAGGAGGAACACCGAUGGCGAAGGCAGGUCUCUGGGCUGUUACUGACGCUGAGGAGCGAAAGCAUGGGGA